Molecule: ribosomal RNA, 253 nt
Filed under: uncultured bacterium
Lineage: Bacteria
Description: partial 16S ribosomal RNA
Rfam family: Bacterial small subunit ribosomal RNA
Source: RNAcentral
UACGGAGGGUGCGAGCGUUGUCCGGAAUCACUGGGCGUAAAGGGCGCGUAGGCGGCCUGAUAAGUAGGGGGUGAAAUCCUGCGGCUUAACCGCAGGGCUGCCUUCUAAACUGUCGGGCUCGAGCACAGUAGAGGCAGGUGGAAUUCCCGGUGUAGCGGUGAAAUGCGCAGAUAUCAGGAGGAACACCGGUGGCGAAGGCGGCACUCUGGGCCGGUACUGACGCUGAGGAGCGAAAGCGUGGGGAGCGAACAGG